This 720-nucleotide ribosomal RNA is filed under the name Rossellomorea aquimaris. Its description in RNAcentral is "Bacillus aquimaris partial 16S ribosomal RNA". It matches the Rfam family "Bacterial small subunit ribosomal RNA", at positions 35 to 735 of the family's 1533-position model. Lineage: Bacteria; Bacillati; Bacillota; Bacilli; Caryophanales; Bacillaceae. The record is from RNAcentral.
GCUUGGGUACAUCUGUUACACGAUCGUGCAGUCAAGCGGACUGAGGGAGCUUGCUCCCUGCAUAUCACCGGCGGAGGGUGAAAUCACGUGGGUAACCUGCCUGUAUGACUGGGAUAACUCCCGGAAACCGGGGCUAAUACCGGAUAGUUUUUUUUCUCUCAUGAGGAAAAGUGGAAAGGUGGCUUUUUUCUCCCCCUUAUAAAUGGACCCCCGGCGCAUUAUCUAUUUGGGGAGGUAACGGCUCCCCACGGGGACAAUACGUAUCCCACCUGAGAGGGGGAUCGCCCCCACUGGGACUGAAACACGCCCCCCACACCCCCGGGGGGCGCCACUAGGGAAUCUCCUCCAAUGGGGAAAAAUCUGACAAAGCACCCCCCCGCGAGAGAGAAGGGUUUUCGCAUAUCAAAGCUCUGUUGUUAGAGAAAAAAAGUGCCGCUCUAAUAGGGGGGCACCUUGAGGGUACCUAUCCACAAAGCCCCGGCUAUCUAUAUGCGCCCACCCCCGGUAUUACAUAUGUGGCACGCGUUGUCCGAAUUAUUGGGCGUAUAGCGCGCGCACGCGCUCUCUAAAUCUGAUGUGAAGCCCCCGGCUCACCCGUGGAGAGUCAUUGUGAACUGUGGGGACUUGUGUACACAAAAGAAAAGUGUGAAUUCCCGUGUAUCGGGUGUAAUGCGUAAUAUAUGUGGAGAACACACGUGUGGAAGGACGACACUCUGGUGC